GACGAACGCGGGCGGCGUGCUUAACACAUGCAAGUCGAACGAUGAAGAAAAGAAUCGAAGCUUCGGCAGAAAUUCAUUUCGGAUUAGUGGCAGACGGGUGAGUAACGCGUGAGCAACCUACCUCUUACAAAGGGAUAGCCUCGGGAAACCGGGAUUAAUACCAUAUAACAUUGCGACGAAGCAUUUCGAUGCAAUCAAAGCUACGGCGGUAAGAGAUGGGCUCGCGUCCCAUUAACCGGAUGGUGAGGUAACGGCUCACCAUAGUGACGAUGGGUAACCGGCCUGAGAGGGUGAACGGUCACACUGGAACUGAGACACGGUCCAGACUCCUACGGGAGGCAGCAGUGGGGAAUAUUGCACAAUGGAGGGAACUCUGAUGCAGCGACGCCGCGUGAGUGAUGAAGGAAUUCGUUUCGUAAAACUCUGUUCUAUGGGAAGAAAAGGACUGUACCAUAGGAGAAAGCUCCGGCUAAAUACGUG
Molecule: ribosomal RNA, 480 nt
Filed under: uncultured bacterium
Lineage: Bacteria
Description: partial 16S ribosomal RNA
Rfam family: Bacterial small subunit ribosomal RNA
Source: RNAcentral